Molecule: non-coding RNA, 74 nt
Organism: Ramicandelaber brevisporus
Lineage: Eukaryota; Fungi; Kickxellomycota; Ramicandelaberales; Ramicandelaberaceae
Source: the annotation of a GenBank genome assembly
GCUUCCAUGGCGCAAUCGGCUAGCGCGUCUGACUGUUAAUCAGGAGGUUGGUAGUUCGAGCCUACCUGGGAGCG